RNAcentral lists this transfer RNA (74 nucleotides) under Prevotella sp. Its description in RNAcentral is "tRNA-Glu". It matches the Rfam family "tRNA". From Rfam's summary of the family: Transfer RNA (tRNA) molecules are approximately 80 nucleotides in length. Their secondary structure includes four short double-helical elements and three loops (D, anti-codon, and T loops). Further hydrogen bonds mediate the characteristic L-shaped molecular structure. tRNAs have two regions of fundamental functional importance: the anti-codon, which is responsible for specific mRNA codon recognition, and the 3' end, to which the tRNAs corresponding amino acid is attached (by aminoacyl-tRNA synthetases). tRNAs cope with the degeneracy of the genetic code in two manners: having more than one tRNA (with a specific anti-codon) for a particular amino acid; and 'wobble' base-pairing, i.e. permitting non-standard base-pairing at the 3rd anti-codon position. Lineage: Bacteria; Pseudomonadati; Bacteroidota; Bacteroidia; Bacteroidales; Prevotellaceae. RNAcentral also lists the same sequence under 4 other names. The record is from RNAcentral.
GGUCCCAUCGAAUAAAUGGCUAGUUCACCGGGCUUUCAAUCCGGAAAUGCUGGGUUCGAGUCCCGCUGGGAUCA